AACGAACGCUGGCGGCAUGCCUAACACAUGCAAGUCGAACGAGACCUUCGGGUCUAGUGGCGCACGGGUGCGUAACGCGUGGGAACCUGCCCUUAGGUUCGGAAUAACUCCCCGAAAGGGGUGCUAAUACCGGAUAAUGUCUUCGGACCAAAGAUUUAUCGCCGUUGGAUGGGCCCGCGUUGGAUUAGCUAGUUGGUAGGGUAAAAGCCUACCAAGGCGACGAUCCAUAGCUGGUCUGAGAGGAUGAUCAGCCACACUGGGACUGAGACACGGCCCAGACUCCUACGGGAAGCAGCAGUGGGGAAUAUUGGACAAUGGGCGAAAGCCUGAUCCAGCAAUGCCGCGUGAGUGAUGAAGGCCUUAGGGUUGUAAAGCUCUUUUACCCGGGAUGAUAAUGACAGUACCGGGAGAAUAAGCUCCGGCUAACUCCGUG
This 433-nucleotide ribosomal RNA is filed under the name uncultured bacterium. RNAcentral's name for it is "partial 16S ribosomal RNA". It matches the Rfam family "Bacterial small subunit ribosomal RNA", at positions 29 to 507 of the family's 1533-position model. The record is from RNAcentral.